This 468-nucleotide ribosomal RNA is filed under the name uncultured bacterium. RNAcentral describes it as "partial 16S ribosomal RNA". It matches the Rfam family "Bacterial small subunit ribosomal RNA", at positions 28 to 507 of the family's 1533-position model. The record is from RNAcentral.
GACGAACGCUGGCGGCGUGCUUAACACAUGCAAGUCGAACGGAAAGGCCCUGCUUUUGUGGGGUGCUCGAGUGGCGAACGGGUGAGUAACACGUGAGUAACCUGCCCUUGACUUUGGGAUAACUUCAGGAAACUGGGGCUAAUACCGGAUAGGAGCUCCUGCUGCAUGGUGGGGGUUGGAAAGUUUCGGCGGUUGGGGAUGGACUCGCGGCUUAUCAGCUUGUUGGUGGGGUAGUGGCUUACCAAGGCUUUGACGGGUAGCCGGCCUGGGAGGGUGACCGGCCACAUUGGGACUGAGCUACGGCCCAGACGCCUACGGGAGGCAGCAGUGGGGAAUAUUGCACAAUGGGCGGAAGCCUGAUGCAGCAAAGCCGCGUGCGGGAUGCCGGCCUUCGGGUUGUAAACCGCUUUCGCCUGAGACGAAGCGUGAGUGACGGUAAUGGGUAAAGAAGCACCGGCUAACUACGUG